Non-coding RNA from Sus scrofa (pig), 8597 nucleotides. The record is from RefSeq and is a predicted model, not a curated record. NCBI's taxonomy places the organism in Eukaryota, Metazoa, Chordata, Mammalia, Artiodactyla, Suidae.
AGGGAGCCCCGGCUGGUGGACGCCGAGCUUGUGGCUCCACGGCCGCUUCAUCCUCGAGGUGCAGCCGAACCUCCGCGUGGCGCCCGGAGUCCUGCGAGCCGCCUGCGCACCGGCCGAGUCCCGGUUCUCUGCGUUGGCCGCCGUCCUCACCGUCCCCUUCCCCCGACCCUCUCGCAGCCUCCCCUUCCUUUCCCCCUCGGAAAAUGGUUCCUGCUGCCGGGCGAGAUGUGUACAUCUCAUGACUGAGAGGAAGAAACUAGUCAUGGGUCAGAGGCCAAGAUACUUCCCUGGGAAAUGCUGCUGAUGCUGCUUGACGAAGUCAAACAAUGAGUGUUUGGUUUAAGAAAGAUUUUCAUAUUUAAAAGAUUUUCAUCUUGGAAAUACUGUCAAGUGAAAAUUAGAGUCUUUUGGGAAACAUUUUCCUCCUGAUAAAUUAUACUUGUGAUGGGCGACAUGGCAAACAACUCGGUUGCCUAUGGUGGAGUGAAAAACUCCUUGAAGGAGGCCAAUCAUGACGGAGACUUUGGAAUUACCCUCGCGGAGCUGCGCGCUCUCAUGGAGCUCAGGUCGACGGACGCGUUGCGAAAAAUACAGGAAAGCUACGGCGACGUCUAUGGAAUCUGCACCAGGUUAAAAACAUCUCCCGUGGAAGGUUUAAGUGGAAACCCAGCAGAUAUAGAAAGAAGAGAAGCAGUAUUUGGAAAGAAUUUUAUACCUCCUAAAAAGCCAAAAACCUUUCUUCAGUUAGUAUGGGAAGCAUUACAAGAUGUCACUUUAAUUAUAUUAGAAAUUGCAGCCAUAGUAUCAUUGGGCCUUUCUUUUUACCAACCUCCAGAAGGGGAUAAUGCACUUUGUGGAGAAGUCUCUGUCGGGGAGGAAGAAGGUGAAGGUGAAACUGGUUGGAUUGAAGGUGCUGCGAUCCUGCUGUCGGUGGUGUGCGUGGUCUUGGUCACCGCCUUCAAUGACUGGAGUAAGGAGAAGCAGUUCCGAGGCUUGCAGAGUCGAAUUGAGCAGGAGCAGAAGUUCACGGUCAUCAGGGGCGGGCAGGUCAUUCAGAUCCCUGUGGCCGACAUUACUGUUGGCGAUAUCGCUCAGGUGAAGUACGGUGAUCUUCUCCCGGCGGAUGGAAUCCUCAUUCAAGGCAAUGAUCUUAAAAUUGAUGAGAGCUCGUUGACUGGGGAAUCCGAUCAUGUUAAGAAGUCUUUAGAUAAGGACCCCUUACUCUUAUCAGGUACUCAUGUAAUGGAAGGCUCUGGAAGAAUGGUAGUUACUGCAGUGGGUAUAAAUUCUCAAACUGGAAUCAUCUUUACCUUACUUGGAGCUGGAGGUGAAGAGGAAGAGAAGAAAGAUGAGAAGAAAAAGGAAAAGAAAAAUAAGAAACAAGAUGGAGCUAUUGAGAAUCGCAACAAAGCAAAAGCCCAGGAUGGUGCAGCCAUGGAAAUGCAGCCUUUGAAGAGUGAAGAAGGUGGAGAUGGUGAUGAAAAAGACAAAAAGAAAGCAAACUUGCCAAAAAAGGAGAAAUCUGUUUUACAGGGGAAACUGACAAAGCUGGCUGUUCAGAUUGGCAAAGCAGGUCUGUUGAUGUCUGCCAUCACAGUUAUCAUUCUCGUACUGUAUUUUGUCAUUGAUACAUUCUGGGUUCAGAAGAGACCGUGGCUUGCUGAGUGCACACCCAUCUACAUACAAUAUUUUGUCAAGUUCUUCAUUAUUGGAGUUACGGUUUUAGUGGUAGCGGUGCCAGAGGGUCUCCCCCUUGCCGUCACCAUCUCACUGGCGUACUCGGUCAAGAAAAUGAUGAAAGAUAAUAAUUUAGUAAGGCAUCUGGAUGCUUGUGAAACCAUGGGAAAUGCUACAGCUAUUUGUUCAGAUAAAACAGGAACAUUGACAAUGAACAGGAUGACAGUUGUUCAAGCCUACAUAAAUGAAAAACAUUAUAAAAAGAUUCCUGAACCAGAAGCUAUUCCACCAAAUAUUUUAUCCUAUCUCGUAACAGGAAUUUCUGUGAAUUGUGCUUAUACAUCAAAAAUAUUGCCACCGGAGAAAGAGGGUGGAUUACCUCGUCAUGUUGGUAAUAAAACUGAAUGUGCCUUGUUGGGACUUCUUUUGGAUUUAAAACGGGAUUAUCAAGAUGUUAGAAAUGAAAUACCAGAAGAAGCACUGUACAAAGUCUACACCUUCAAUUCUGUUAGGAAGUCCAUGAGCACUGUCCUGAAAAAUUCAGAUGGAAGUUACCGAAUAUUCAGCAAGGGUGCCUCUGAGAUAAUUCUGAAAAAGUGUUUCAAAAUCUUGAGUGCUAAUGGUGAGGCAAAAGUAUUCAGACCAAGGGACCGAGAUGAUAUUGUAAAAACUGUGAUUGAACCGAUGGCAUCAGAAGGCCUGAGAACCAUAUGUCUUGCAUUCAGAGAUUUCCCAGCAGGAGAACCAGAACCAGAGUGGGAUAAUGAAAAUGAUAUUGUCACCGGCCUUACAUGCAUUGCUGUUGUGGGGAUUGAAGAUCCUGUGAGACCUGAGGUGCCAGACGCAAUAAAGAAAUGUCAGAGGGCCGGAAUUACUGUGCGGAUGGUAACUGGCGAUAAUAUUAACACCGCUCGGGCUAUUGCCACCAAGUGUGGUAUUUUACAUCCUGGGGAAGAUUUCCUGUGCCUGGAAGGUAAAGAUUUCAACAGAAGAAUACGAAAUGAAAAAGGAGAGAUUGAGCAAGAGCGGAUAGACAAGAUUUGGCCAAAACUUCGAGUGCUUGCGAGAUCCUCUCCUACUGACAAACAUACACUGGUUAAAGGUAUAAUUGACAGCACUGUCUCAGAUCAACGCCAGGUUGUAGCUGUAACUGGUGAUGGUACAAAUGACGGCCCAGCAUUAAAGAAAGCAGAUGUUGGAUUUGCAAUGGGUAUCGCUGGAACUGACGUAGCUAAAGAAGCAUCAGAUAUCAUCCUCACAGAUGACAACUUUACGAGCAUUGUUAAAGCAGUUAUGUGGGGACGAAAUGUCUACGACAGCAUCUCCAAAUUUCUUCAGUUCCAGCUCACUGUCAAUGUAGUAGCAGUGAUUGUUGCUUUCACGGGCGCCUGUAUUACUCAAGAUUCCCCGCUGAAGGCGGUGCAGAUGCUGUGGGUGAACCUCAUCAUGGACACACUCGCUUCCCUGGCUCUGGCCACCGAGCCCCCCACUGAGUCCCUCUUGCUUCGGAAACCUUACGGUAGAAAUAAGCCUCUCAUCUCACGCACGAUGAUGAAGAAUAUUUUGGGUCAUGCAUUCUAUCAGCUGGUGGUAGUCUUUACACUCUUGUUUGCUGGAGAAAAGUUUUUUGAUAUUGAUAGUGGAAGAAAUGCUCCUUUGCACGCUCCUCCGUCAGAACAUUACACUAUUGUUUUUAACACCUUUGUACUGAUGCAACUUUUCAACGAAAUAAAUGCACGGAAAAUUCACGGUGAAAGAAAUGUAUUUGAAGGAAUCUUUAAUAAUGCCAUCUUCUGCACAAUUGUUUUAGGCACUUUUGUGGUACAGGUGGGUAAUUGUAAAAGAUAGUUUCAAAUUUGGUUAUUAUGCGGCGUUCUUAAGUAAACUAUAGGUGGCUUGUUCCAGAAAUUAGCUGACUACAAUGUGUGGGACUUCCGUGUAUUGCCUUGAUGACAUCAAAAAGAGUUUCAGAUACCAUGACUCACGUGAAAAUUUGCCCUGUCCUAAAAUUCUACGUGUGAAUGAGCAUACUAAGCUAAUGCCACUGUAACUGCACUACCAGUUCUAUGUGGUAUUUCAUAGUCACUCUGAUUCUGAGUAUUCAUUCUGUAUUGUUAUUAUGAAAACCGUUAUAAUGUUUUUACGUUAUUUUAGGCCAGUCUUACAGUUAACCACUUUUUAAUCUAGCCAGAGUGACCAUUUAAUUGCUCCUAACAGUUAAUAACAUUGUAGUUCUACAGUUGAGUUCAUUAUUAAAUAAUAAAUGGUUUGGGAAUGAAUAUUUUAAAAUCCAUGUGAUUCUGAAUGACUGCAUCCUGAGUUGGAAUGUGCCACUUUUCCAUUUUGUAAUAUUGUCAAAACAAGACAGAAAAGGAAGUGGAGAAUUGAGUGUGAGGAAUGAAGAUGAAACAGGAAGGAUUUAAUUUUCCCAUUUUUAUAAAAGUCAUUCUAAGGACAAAACUAAACAUCACUUUACAUAUGGUCAUUUUUACAUAACUAUAUAUUAUACCUAUGUUUUUAUAUCCUCUUGGAUUCUGUGGUACUCUUCUAUGCAAAUGAUUGUUAAUAGCAGAAUCUGGAAUCACAACGAGUAAGUAAAUGAUGCAUGAUCCACACCAGUAAAUCAAUAAACACAGUAAGAUUUCAAAUUUAAGAGUGAGCUUUUCAACCAUAGACUCAGACAGUGAUAGGGCUUAUUUCAGAAUGAAGAGCUAAGAAUUUUGAUGAGUUUAUUCAGUCUAUACCUUGUGCACUGUGGAUAGCAAAACCCAAAACCCCAGACUUAAUUAUUUCUGUGCAGACUGUUUCUGUUUUUGCUUUCAGUUUCUGUAAACUGUGGGGGAAAUUUUGCUUACUUGUUAUGUAGUUUCUGGAAGUAUUUUAUGUUGAUUUUGUAAAAAUCACUGUUGAUGGUAUGCUAAAAUUUUAGCUUUUACUUACUGUUAGAAUUAGGUUUAUUUUAUCUGUUUUUAAAUAUAUAGGUCUGCAAAAAUGUAAUUGCCUAUCUCUAUCAAGCAAAUCUGAUAAAACUUAGUUCCUAACAUAGGUUGAUAUCCCCAAAACAGUUGAUGUGAGGUGUCAUUUUUCAAUGCUUCAUACGUAUUCCCACGCUACUCAGAGUGUGGUCUGUGAAUCAGCCACUGAUCUGUUUAUUGCAAGUCCACAGUGAGAUAAGGAGCAUGGGCCAGAAUGUAAGUCAACAACUUCACUAAAUAAAUUUAUUCUUGAUUAUUUCUCCAGAUAAUAAUUGUGCAGUUUGGUGGAAAACCUUUCAGUUGUUCAGAACUUUCAAUAGAACAGUGGCUAUGGUCAAUAUUCCUAGGAAUGGGAACGUUACUCUGGGGCCAGGUAAAAAAAAAUAAACAAAACCUCAUCAUUUUUUGUUUAAACCUAAAGUGAUUUUUUUUUUUUUAAUUUUUAGUGUGUGUACAUUUAAUCAGUUCUAUAACAUGAUUCUAGGUAGUUUUCAUUCCGGGUCGAGAAAGGGCAUUCAGAGUUGUUUUUUAAUAUAAAAUUUGUUCUCAUUUGUCACUUGCUGUUUAUUAUAAUUAUGCUUAUACAAUGUAAUUUCUUACCUGGUUUUUUAACUUGUUAUUUAGAACAAGAUUUACAGCUGUUAUUAAGUUGAUGCACUUACAACUGUAUCUUUUGCUCUAUUACCUACUUUCGCAGUUUCAAAAUUAAUGUUUUAAUAAAAAUAUUGUAUAUGUUACUUUUUAUCAUUUUCUUAGAUAAUUUAAUAAAAAUGUAGCAUAGGAAAAAUCCUGAGUUUCACUUGAUGCGAAAAAUGUUUCCAUAAAUAUCUGGAAACAUUGGCCACAGAAUGACAUUUUAGAUUAUUUGGAUCAGAUGGUUUUAACAGUAUAUAUAUUAAAUACAGUGCCUGAAAAAUGAGAUAGCCUUCAUCUUCACUAUAGGUAGCUAACUUGCAGAUGCAUUUCGUUUUUAAAAAGAUAAGUGGUAAUGGUUUGUGUGUUGUUCAUUUUAAGUCCAUUGCCAUCACUGUAAAUCUGAUAAUCUGUACUAACUUAAGUUACCGUAGGCUGUUGGUGUGUAACUAGUGUGAACUAAUUUACUGUCAUUUUGUAAGUCAGUGUAACAGAACAUCCAGAUUUUACUUAACCUUAACUCAGUCUUUUUGCGCCUUUUAUCUCAUUCACCUUUUCCUAAUUGUGUUUCUAGGUUCUGAGGUUUCUCGUCUUACUUGUAAAAACCUCUUUAAUUGACUUCUUUUAAGUUGGAUCCAUACCGGAUCCCCCCCCCUUUUUUUUUUUUUUUUUUUUUUUUUGAUGACUGUUCUAGUUACUUUCUAAUGUUCCCUCACAGGCAAAACCAAACCCCACAACCUCCCUCAAAAUCUAGCUAAAUUCAGGAAGAGGAAAUUCAGUAUAGCGUGCAUGCCCAGCAGGCAUCAGUUCCUGUCCUCGGUUGACGCUGCCUGUUGACUUUAGGUGGACGGAGGUAGAAAGCACUGAUGCUGUUAGUCAGGAGACUUAGGGUCUUAGUCACUCCAUGAACGAGUCAUUUCCUGUGUCUGUGAUCCUGUUUCAUCUCUAAAAUGAGGUGAUUGGACUAGAAGUUCUUUGAGCAUUUCUGAUUCUGCCUGCAUGCCUGAUUCCCAACUUGCUUGAUGAAUGGCCACGUUCCUUAAGGAAUGGCUGUUAACACUUAGAAGUUAAUACAUAUUGCUGUUUUUGUAUCUUGUAUGUCUUCUGGGGAAUCUUGUUUGGUGUUAUUUUCAGUCAGUGUUAAUCCAGUAUUACAUAGUUGCAUUUUAUGAAAAUAUACAUGUAAUAAGCCAAAGUUUUUUCAGUUCAACCUUGAAGAUUUUUUACAUUUGGGUGUUUUUUCUCAUUGAAUCCUUAAAGCACUAAUGAAAUGUCAAGUUAUGUUGCAUCCUCUACAACCACCUGCUAUUUUUUUAAUUUUAUUUAAAAUAAAUUAAUUCACAUGAAUUUAAGUAAAUAUAAUCUAAUUCACAUGAAUUUAAGUAAAUAUGUACGUAUUAAAGCAUGGCUGUAUAAUGUACUGUCUUGACUGUCCUAAAUAAAAUGUCAAAACGUAAUCAGGUUAUUUCCAUUCAGGAACAAUUUUCACCCUCCAAACAAAUUGUUUAUGUAGCUAAGAGGAGUAAUAUUUUUUGUUUUGAGAAAGACAGCCUCUGAUGGACAGGAUCUCAUUGCUUCAUUGGUAAAGAUAGUUGGCUAUGCUUGCCCCUUUUCAUACCUUUUCUGUGUUAAAGGCGAUCGGUUUAAUUGUAUUAUGAUACGAUUUGUUUCUAAGUUCUUUCCCCUGUGUUGUAGCUUAUUUCAACAAUUCCAACUAGCCGUUUAAAAUUUCUAAAAGAAGCUGGUCAUGGAACACAGAAGGAAGAGAUUCCUGAGGAGGAGUUAGCAGAGGAUGUGGAAGAGAUUGAUCACGCUGAACGGGAGUUGCGGCGUGGCCAGAUCUUGUGGUUUAGAGGUCUGAACAGAAUCCAGACGCAGAUGGAUGUAGUGAAUGCUUUCCAGAGUGGAAGUUCCAUUCAGGGGGCUCUAAGGCGGCAACCCUCCAUCGCCAGCCAGCAUCAUGAUGUAACAAAUAUUUCUACCCCUACACAUGUAGUGUUUUCCUCUUCUACUGCUUCUACUACUGUGGGGUAUUCGAGUGGUGAAUGCAUUUCGUAGUUCUUUAUAUGAAGGGUUAGAAAAGCCAGAAUCAAGAAGUUCAAUUCACAACUUUAUGACGCAUCCUGAGUUUAGGAUAGAAGAUUCCGAGCCUCACAUCCCCCUUAUCGAUGACACUGAUGCUGAAGACGAUGCUCCUACAAAACGUAACUGCAGUCCUCCGCCCUCUCCCAACAAAAACAACAAUGCCGUUGACAGCGGGAUCUACCUUACAAUAGAAAUGAACAAGUCUGCUACCUCUUCAUCCCCAGGAAGCCCACUACAUAGUUUGGAAACAUCGCUCUGAUUGUAAGCUGAAGGUUAACACACUAGCUGCAUUGUAAAGAAACAAAUUGAAACUGGGUCUUUUCACAUAUUGUGACGGACAAGAUAGUAUUCUUGUCUUUGGACUUCAACAGAAGACACACUUGUACGAAUGUAGAUUUAUUUUUUUAAAAAAAAAAAAAGCAAAGCUUUCUGCCAGACUGAGGGUGCUUUUUGGGGGGUGGGAGAAAUGAACUGACAGAUAAACUGUAACUCACCAUAAGUUGACCUGUGGAUCAUCAGUAGAACCUAAGAAUGGUCCUGAACAGUGUAUUAGCAAAGCUUUAGUUUAUCUCAAUCCGUGAUGGGAGAGAGGGAGGAGUCAAGCUGGGCAAGCAGGCAAAGAGCCCUGGAUCAUUGAAUUGAUGCUUUAAUUUCUGCUGUUGGCUGUUAAUAAUUUGGAUUAUUUAUGUUUAUAAAUGAUACAGAUCUGUUUACAAGGUUUGUAGAUACUUUUUUUGUUCCUGUUCAUAGAUGGGAAGCUUCCUUAUAACUGAUGCAGAGAAAAAUUAGUCCUUCAAAUACUGCUGUAUUUUCAGGAAAAAAAAAGGGGGGGUGUUUCUAUUGAAACUGUACUAAAUUUUUGCCUACAAUUUACCUUGUUAAAUAUUGUAGAUAAAUUGCUAAUACUAAUAGCCAAAUAGAUAACACUAAUGCUUUGUUUAAAAAACAACAACAACAACAAACAAAACAAAAAAAAAAAAAAAAACAUGAGCAGUGGUGUUCUGAUGAAGUUACGGCAUCUGUCCUAAUUAGUUUCUUAAAUACAUUUACUACUUAAUGGUUUUGAAACAACUGUUUAAUUUUUAAAAUUUUUGAAAACUUGCUAAUAACCUUUGUUCAGAAUUUAGUAGAUUGUUUAAUGCAGGACAUCAACUACAUAAUGAAAGAAGCUUGAAAUGCUUUUGUUAUUUCAGGCAAAUCAAAUUAAAUCAAACUAUCAAACUACAA